UGCAUGCAAGAUUGAUUAGAGGUUCAUCUAUGCAAGGAGGGGCGUGUUUGGCCAUUGAAGGCUAAUUCUUGAAUUGAAGACUAUAAUAAGAAGACUAGCCAAACAAGACUCUUACUUCAUUAAGGGUAGCAAUGUAAUUUCCUAUUAUCUUCUUUACUUAGCUUGUAUAUAUAGCUUGUCUUUCAUUUCAUUACUUAGAUUUUGGAUGAUGAAUUAUGAUACUCUAAAUUGAGUGAUAGAUUGUUAGGUAGAUUCUAGGGCUAUUUUAGUCAAUAUGAUAGUGGAAUCCAUUGUUGGUUUGUGAA
This is a long non-coding RNA of Lycium ferocissimum, 305 nucleotides long. RefSeq lists it as uncharacterized. NCBI's taxonomy places the organism in Eukaryota, Viridiplantae, Streptophyta, Magnoliopsida, Solanales, Solanaceae. The record is from RefSeq and is a predicted model, not a curated record. The transcript is spliced from 2 exons.